Pelobates cultripes (western spadefoot toad) is the source of this 290-nucleotide non-coding RNA. Lineage: Eukaryota; Metazoa; Chordata; Amphibia; Anura; Pelobatidae. The record is from the annotation of a GenBank genome assembly.
UUCUGCUAGAUUUGGAUUAUGAUCUGGAUAUUGAUGACAUUCCAUAUAACAAGCAAGUACGGAACCAACUGGAUCAAAAUGGAAGAAAAACCAGUCACCUUCCGUCUGGUAACAGCAGAGCCGAGUCUUCGUUAACCAAUUUCUGUCUAAUCUUCGUAGUCCUCCUCUUGGGGCUUCUUUCAGUGGACUGAAACUGUGGAUUAAACCCAAUUUCUUAAUCUAGCACUGAACUAGCAAACUGAAUUUGCAAAUUUAUAAUAUUUCUCAAACCAUUGUAAAAAAAUUCUUGG